This 438-nucleotide ribosomal RNA is filed under the name Triticum aestivum (bread wheat). Its description in RNAcentral is "partial small subunit ribosomal RNA". The record is from RNAcentral. Lineage: Eukaryota; Viridiplantae; Streptophyta; Magnoliopsida; Poales; Poaceae.
AUGUCGACUGCAGGGAUAAUUAAAGUCUCCGCUGCGUGCCCCGUCUUCGAUGGAACUGAAUAUCCCUACUGGAAGAAUAAGAUGCGCAUGCAUCUUGAAGCCAUUGACGUCGACCUAUGGUAUGUCGUCAAGAACAGCGUUCCCAAGGCUGGAGAAGGUGUCACUGCUGCUGAUGUCAAGAAGUUCGUUCAACUGGACUCUACUGCCAAGAAUAUCAUCUGUGGUCAUCUGACCAAAGGACAGUAUGGCCGUGUGAGUGCCUUGGAAACAUCUAAGCUGGUCUGGGACUGGCUCUCCAAGGUCAAUGAAGGCGUCUCAACCCAGAGAGAUCAGAGAAUCAGUGUCCUUCGCAACCUCUUCAACCGCUUCAAGCGAAAUGACAAUGAGAAUGUCCAACUCACAUUUGACCGACUCACUGACAUCACAAAUGAGCUUCAA